AUACGGAGGGUGCAAGCGUUAUCCGGAAUCAUUGGGUUUAAAGGGUCCGCAGGCGGUCAAUUAAGUCAGAGGUGAAAUCCCGUCGCUCAACGACGGAACUGCCUUUGAUACUGGUUGACUUGAGUUAUACGGAAGUAGAUAGAAUGUGUAGUGUAGCGGCGAAAUGCAUAGAUAUUACACAGAAUACCGAUUGCGAAGGCAGUCUACUACGUAUAUACUGACGCUCAUGGACGAAAGCGUGGGGAGCGAACAGGAUUAGAAACCCCGGUAGUCC
Molecule: ribosomal RNA, 274 nt
Filed under: uncultured bacterium
Lineage: Bacteria
Description: partial 16S ribosomal RNA
Rfam family: Bacterial small subunit ribosomal RNA
Source: RNAcentral